UCGCCGCGCACGCGCUCCCCACCUCCUCUCAACCCAACGACUCCCUUUCCUUUCUCUACUCUUUUUUAGUCACUGCAAAGGACUAGGCUUACAAGUAAGCACACUUCCUCUCCCGCUCCUGCGCAUGCGUCCCACUCAGACACAUGUGUAGACUGGAUAUAGAUAACGUGUGCUUGCUCGCGCGCGCAGACCCCACCCCCUUUCUCUUUCUCCACAGCCUGCGCGCGCCUUGCCCGGGCAGCGUUCCAAACAAGGUGCGUGCGCAUGCGCCCCAGGGCCUUUACUGCACCUCUUCUCCCCAGCCGCCGCCCCUCUUCUUCCUGCGUCUUCCUCCACCAAUAGCAUCCUACAUGAGAUGGGACCUAGCUUUAUAGUAGGCUAUCAAGCUGCCAGGCCCGUAGCCAGGAAAAAAGAAACAUCGGAAGUGGUAGAAACUCCCCCCCCCCCCCCGAGAUGACUUUUCAGGUCUGGCACAAGGUCCCAACAAGGCCCUGAAAUUAGCAUCAUUAUCAAAGGUUCUUCACAGCUUUGACCUUCCGUCGUCUUCUUCACGGACGCCAUCUGCUGCUCUGGAUUUACGGACUGAACUGACUACGGGCUCGGGAUCUCCUAUUGGACUUGGUGAACUUCAAACGUCUGAUUCUACCUAAUUGACCUUCGGAAAAAACUGGGACUACUCUACUGCUUCAACCCUCGGCUGCUUCGUUUGUAUUGGGAAUUUGCCUUGCUGUGUGAAGGAGUGACUCUGUGUUACUCAAAACAUAGUGCUGGCAGCAGAGAGGCAUCUGCUGCCAAUUAGUUACAUUCCUUUGAACUCUUUGUUUCCCAGCUUCUGUUUUGUUUACUCCCAGGCUGAAGCAAGCUGUUUUGAUUUUACCCGGAUUAAACUCCGGUUUAAUCCGGUUUAUCUUUUGAACGUUUUUCCUUGCCCCUUUUUGCUUUUAAAGGCUAAAGUUGCCUAGCCCUUGUCUUUUACGGGCAUUUUGAGUUCUGUAAAUCCAAUAAACUCUGUUAUCUUUGA
Anolis carolinensis (green anole) is the source of this 1021-nucleotide long non-coding RNA. RefSeq lists it as uncharacterized. The record is from RefSeq and is a predicted model, not a curated record. Lineage: Eukaryota; Metazoa; Chordata; Lepidosauria; Squamata; Anolidae. The transcript has 2 exons.